AGAGCGAACGCUGGCGGCAGGCCUAACACAUGCAAGUCGAGCGCCCCGCAAGGGGAGCGGCAGACGGGAGAGUAACACGUGGGAACGUACCCUUCAGUUCGGAACAACCCAGGGAAACUUGGGCUAAUACCGAAUACGUCCGUAAGGAGAAGAUUAUCGCUGAAGGAUCGGCCCGCGUCUGAUUAGCUUGUUGGUGAGGUAAUGGCUCACCAAGGCUACGAUCAGUAGCUGGUCUGAGAGGAUGAUCAGCCUCACUGGGACUGAGACACGGCCCAGACUCCUACGGGAGGCAGCAGUGGGGAAUAUUGGACAAUGGGCGCAAGCCUGAUCCAGCCAUGCCGCGUGGGUGAUGAAGGCCUUAGGGUUGUAAAGCCCUUUCGGCGGGGAAGAUAAUGACGGUACCCGCAGAAGAAGCCCCGGCUAACUUCGUGCCAGCAGCCGC
Molecule: ribosomal RNA, 442 nt
Filed under: uncultured bacterium
Lineage: Bacteria
Description: SSU rRNA
Rfam family: Bacterial small subunit ribosomal RNA
Source: RNAcentral